This 253-nucleotide ribosomal RNA is filed under the name uncultured bacterium. Its description in RNAcentral is "partial 16S ribosomal RNA". It matches the Rfam family "Bacterial small subunit ribosomal RNA", at positions 524 to 776 of the family's 1533-position model. The record is from RNAcentral.
UACGUAGGGGGCAAGCGUUGUCCGGAAUCAUUGGGCGUAAAGCGCGCGUAGGUGGCCCAGUAAGUCCGCUGUAAAAGUCAACGGCUCAACUGUUGAAAGCCGGUGGAUACUGUCGGGCUAGAGUACGGAAGAGGCAAGUGGAAUUCCUGGUGUAGCGGUGGAAUGCGCAGAUAUCAGGAGGAACACCCAUAGCGAAGGCAGCUUGCUGGGACGUUACUGACGCUAAGGCGCGAAAGCGUGGGGAGCGAACAGG